UGGGGAAUAUUGGACAAUGGGCGCAAGCCUGAUCCAGCCAUGCCGCGUGGGUGAAGAAGGCCUUCGGGUUGUAAAGCCCUUUUGUUGGGAAAGAAAAGCAGCCGGUUAAUACCCGGUUGUCAUGACGGUACCCAAAGAAUAAGCACCGGCUAACUUCGUGCCAGCAGCCGCGGUAAUACGAAGGGUGCAAGCGUUACUCGGAAUUACUGGGCGUAAAGCGUGCGUAGGUGGUUUGUUAAGUCAGAUGUGAAAGCCCUGGGCUCAACCUGGGAACUGCAUUUGAUACUGGCAGGCUAGAGUGCGGUAGAGGGGUGCGGAAUUCCUGGUGUAGCAGUGAAAUGCGUAGAGAUCAGGAGGAACAUCCGUGGCGAAGGCGGCACCCUGGGCCAGCACUGACACUGAGGCACGAAAGCGUGGGGAGCAAACAGG
Molecule: ribosomal RNA, 429 nt
Filed under: uncultured bacterium
Lineage: Bacteria
Description: bacterial SSU rRNA
Rfam family: Bacterial small subunit ribosomal RNA
Source: RNAcentral